Molecule: small RNA, 259 nt
Filed under: Arabidopsis thaliana (thale cress)
Lineage: Eukaryota; Viridiplantae; Streptophyta; Magnoliopsida; Brassicales; Brassicaceae
Description: ATSL088010
Source: RNAcentral
GCUUCUUCCUAGCGAUCGGGCGGUCCUCCCUCUUCCUGUUCACCGCCGGUUCGCCCACUGCUGCUUUCAUAGAUGUCGUGCGAAGGGACAGAGCUAAUGGAUGCCUAUUCCGUUCUCCUGCUCCUGCUCCAGCUCAAGAGUUCAAACGGACAGAGGAGAGUCCUGCUACCGAAAAAAAAGUGCAUAAUAUUGGAUUCAAACAAAGGGGAUUUAUUCACGAAUACGAUUUCUAUUGAUUGAAAGCUUUCCUAUUACUGAU